GGAUUGUGGCUCAGCGGUAGAGCGCUCCCCUAGUACAGGCGCAACCCGGGGUUCGAUUCUCAGCACCA
RNAcentral lists this transfer RNA (68 nucleotides) under Marmota monax (woodchuck). RNAcentral's name for it is "tRNA.Thr". Lineage: Eukaryota; Metazoa; Chordata; Mammalia; Rodentia; Sciuridae. The record is from RNAcentral.